CAUGUACUCCCUCCGUCCGGAAAUACUUGUCCGAGGAAUGGAUGUAUCUAGAUGUAUUUUAGUUCUAGAUACAUCCAUUUGUAUCCAUUUCUAUGACAAGUAUUUUCGGACGGAGGGAGUAUAAC
Molecule: non-coding RNA, 125 nt
Organism: Triticum urartu
Lineage: Eukaryota; Viridiplantae; Streptophyta; Magnoliopsida; Poales; Poaceae
Source: Rfam